RNAcentral lists this long non-coding RNA (947 nucleotides) under Phasianus colchicus (ring-necked pheasant). Its description in RNAcentral is "lncRNA (ENSPCLG00000002763.1)". The record is from RNAcentral. Lineage: Eukaryota; Metazoa; Chordata; Aves; Galliformes; Phasianidae.
CUUUAAUGUACAAUUGUUGUUCCCGGAAAGAAAUGGCAAAUUCAAUUAUAAGGAGGAAGGUUACGUAAGCAAAAUUUCAAGGUUUGCUUUCAAACCGUUUUCACAGUUCAGUGAAUUGAGGAAGAACAUUUACAAUGCAUGGCACUUAACACUGCUGUUAGAGAAAUGUGCUGGAGCAAUACCUAGCUGACAGUUCUACGAAUUGUGUUCUUCCAUUUCACAGUCCUUCAUGCUGCUUCUGAGAUGUUUCUUCCUAAUCCAACAAUGCAAUUCAUUUUGCAUUGCCUGUUGAGUCCCAUGAUGUUUUUGUUGACUGCCUGGACAGCAUCCAUCAGAAAUGAAGCAAGGAUAUGUUUUUACAGGGAAAGAAAAUAUAUGAGUAAAUCGGAGGUGUUGGCUUCUCUAACUUCUUGCAGAUCCCAGAAGCUUGAAAGCACAAAAGAAACAGCUUGUGGGAAAUCUGUGAAGUCCAUCUAUUUCUACAAUAGGAUUAUUCAUCACCACAUGUUUUCCCCAUCUGGAAGUAAAUGGACAAAAUGCUGAAACCACCACCGUCUCACUUGCAAAUUGCUCCACAGUCUAACCAGUCAUGCUAUUGAGAAGAUAUGCCUGCAGUUCAACCCAAAUUGUCUGUAAUCAUGUUGCUUCCUUUCUCUUGUUAUCCUGAGUAGUUCCUCCCCACCCAUGUGUUUAACCUCUCUGCAAUAUUUGUGGAUGGCAAUCAGAUCCCUCUGAGUCACUGCUUAGCUAAGCUGUAUGCAUUUUCAGCAUCGUUCUUUUCUUGUGUAAAUCUUCUCAGAUAUUUAACUAUUUUUCUCCACUUUCCUGUGAAACCCUGAGCAUUCACUGAAGAUGUUAGAAUGAUUGGCCCUGGCUGAACAUGGGAACGGACCAUGAACCUUACACAGAUGUCCCUUUAGUGGCCUGGGUACAAGUGCAGUGUGUCG